UACGAAGGGGGCUAGCGUUGUUCGGAAUUACUGGGCGUAAAGCGCACGUAGGCGGACAUUUAAGUCAGGGGUGAAAUCCCAGAGCUCAACUCUGGAACUGCCUUUGAUACUGGGUGUCUUGAGUAUGGAAGAGGUGAGUGGAAUUCCGAGUGUAGAGGUGAAAUUCGUAGAUAUUCGCAAGAACACCAGUGGCGAAGGCGGCUCACUGGUCCGGUACUGACGCUGAGGUGCGAAAGCGUGGGGAGCAAACAGG
RNAcentral lists this ribosomal RNA (253 nucleotides) under uncultured bacterium. RNAcentral describes it as "partial 16S ribosomal RNA". It matches the Rfam family "Bacterial small subunit ribosomal RNA", at positions 524 to 776 of the family's 1533-position model. The record is from RNAcentral.